This is an unclassified non-coding RNA of Capra hircus (goat), 309 nucleotides long. Its record names the gene 7SK. It matches the Rfam family "7SK RNA". Rfam says of the family: 7SK was discovered as an abundant small nuclear RNA in the mid-70s but a possible function has only recently been suggested. Two independent studies have found that 7SK RNA binds the CDK9/cyclin T complex (known as elongation factor P-TEFb). The record is from Ensembl. Lineage: Eukaryota; Metazoa; Chordata; Mammalia; Artiodactyla; Bovidae.
GGAUGUGAGGGCGACCUGUUUGCAACAUCUGUCAGCCCACUGAUCACCGGGGCUGAUUCAGCUGAUCUGGCUGGCUAGAUUAGCCCCUCCCUCCCUCACCACUCCAGCAGCGCCCCUCCAGGAGCGCCCCUCCCAAAGCUGCACACACGGUGGGAGAUGAAGACCAUCCCCGAUAGAGGAGGAUCGGUCUUCAGUCAAGGGUUUAACGAGUAGCUGUGCUCUCCUACUAGAAUCUCCAAACGAGCUCUCAAGAAAACAGAAAGAGGCCAAUAUGAUCCUUAAGUAUUUUAACACGCGGUCAUUAUAGAU